CAGUCGCCGCGGUAAUACGAAGGGGGCUAGCGUUGCUCGGAAUUACUGGGCGUAAAGGGAGCGUAGGCGGAUCGUUUAGUCAGGGGUGAAAUCCCGGGGCUCAACCUCGGAACUGCCUUUGAUACUGGCGAUCUUGAGUAUGGGAGAGGUGUGUGGAACUCCGAGUGUAGAGGUGAAAUUCGUAGAUAUUCGGAAGAACACCAGUGGCGAAGGCGACACACUGGCCCAUUACUGACGCUGAGGCUCGAAAGCGUGGGGAGCAAACAGGAUUAGAUACCCCCGUAGUCCCUGUCUCUUAUAC
RNAcentral lists this ribosomal RNA (301 nucleotides) under uncultured bacterium. RNAcentral describes it as "partial 16S ribosomal RNA". It matches the Rfam family "Bacterial small subunit ribosomal RNA", at positions 509 to 807 of the family's 1533-position model. The record is from RNAcentral.